Molecule: ribosomal RNA, 539 nt
Filed under: uncultured bacterium
Lineage: Bacteria
Description: bacterial SSU rRNA
Rfam family: Bacterial small subunit ribosomal RNA
Source: RNAcentral
GAGGAAUAUUGGUCAAUGGGCGCGAGCCUGAACCAGCCAAGUAGCGUGCAGGAUGACGGCCCUAUGGGUUGUAAACUGCUUUUGUAUGGGGAUAAAGUCAAUCACGUGUGAUUGUUUGCAGGUACCAUACGAAUAAGGACCGGCUAAUUCCGUGCCAGCAGCCGCGGUAAUACGGAAGGUCCGGGCGUUAUCCGGAUUUAUUGGGUUUAAAGGGAGCGUAGGCCGGAGAUUAAGUGUGUUGUGAAAUGUAGACGCUCAACGUCUGACUUGCAGCGCAUACUGGUUUCCUUGAAUACGCACAACGUUGGCGGAAUUCGCCGUGUAGCGGUGAAAUGCUUAGAUAUGACGAAGAACUCCGAUUGCGAAGGCAGCUGACGGGAGCGCAACUGACGCUUAAGCUCGAAGGUGCGGGUAUCGAACAGGAUUAGAUACCCUGGUAGUCCGCACAGUAAACGAUGGAUGCCCGCUGUUGGUACCUGGUAUCAGCGGCUAAGCGAAAGCAUUAAGCAUCCCACCUGGGGAGUACGCCGGCAACGGUG